GGGCUCGUAGUUCAAUGGUCGAAUGCGCCCUUGGCUAGGGUGAGGUUCCGGGUUCGAAUCCCGGCGAGUCCA
RNAcentral lists this transfer RNA (72 nucleotides) under Candidatus Pacearchaeota archaeon. Its description in RNAcentral is "tRNA-Ala". It matches the Rfam family "tRNA". Rfam says of the family: Transfer RNA (tRNA) molecules are approximately 80 nucleotides in length. Their secondary structure includes four short double-helical elements and three loops (D, anti-codon, and T loops). Further hydrogen bonds mediate the characteristic L-shaped molecular structure. tRNAs have two regions of fundamental functional importance: the anti-codon, which is responsible for specific mRNA codon recognition, and the 3' end, to which the tRNAs corresponding amino acid is attached (by aminoacyl-tRNA synthetases). tRNAs cope with the degeneracy of the genetic code in two manners: having more than one tRNA (with a specific anti-codon) for a particular amino acid; and 'wobble' base-pairing, i.e. permitting non-standard base-pairing at the 3rd anti-codon position. The record is from RNAcentral. Lineage: Archaea; Nanobdellati.